ACAUGGAGAGGGGGGACCUGAUCCUAUAUCAUAAUGAAUCAGAUUACAUAGACAGGGGGACCUGAUCCUGAUUCAGCACUCCUCCUUUGAGACACUGCCUUUAUGAAUAAGGAAUGCUGUUGUAAAGUGUAGUUACAGCAGGUGUUUACUGCCAUCUAGUGGAAGAUUCCAAUAAAACACUUUAUUAUCAGGGUGGGGAGACGGCUGAGUGCAGGAUCCAUGGUGAGAUGACAAAAGAGGAAAACACACUAUAUGGAGAGAAGUACAAAUAAAGUAUUUCUGAACAAUAAAGAACAGAUUAAGAUAAUGAAUACCUGGAAUGACAUAUUAUUACUAGUUAGUAGAGGCUCUUCUGUCAUCAUUAUUUACCCAUACACCGGUGACGUCAGAAGGGACGUGAUUUCCUCAUAUGAAAGUGAAAGUAACUGUGUAGUCUACACCGUUACAAAAUGACUGUAGAAAAUGUAGCGCACAUUUCUCUGCAACAUUAGAAGUAGGAUAAAUGUGUUGAUUUGAAGGACAGACGUACAGACUCUGGUAAGUCUUGGCUACAUAUAACUAUUAUAAAGUUAGGUCGUAGUCAGACAUUCAAUAGACAGAGUAGGCUUGAGAUAUGAUUCUUUAUCAUGCUGACCAACCUGGGCCCGUUUUCCACGAUGGAAUUUAGGCUUAACGCUGGAAACGCAUAAGAAGUGGUAAACGAUAAUUAACAAAAUACAAAGUUGAGUAAACGCUAUUUUACAAAUAAAAAGGUGCUUAAGCGCGUUUACGUGGGUUUACCCUCCACUACAUCCCCGUUGAUGUGGUGUGCAGCGUAGAGUGUAUAGUCAUUUAGUCUCUAUAGACCAGGUGGCCAGUUGGUGAGAAACUGUUCAGAUGGGGUGGUUUAGACCACUGCACCACCCAGGAGGUGACUGAAAGUAAAUAUGUGAUUUUGUACAGGAUCCAUUUUGAGAUGACAGAGCAGAAAACACUAUAUGGACAAUACUGACAAAUAAAGUACGAUCAUGGAUAUUGCCUCUGAGUAUUGAAACAGGUAAGAUCAGGGAUAUUUUCUCUGAGUAUUGAAACAGGUCAGUAUUGUGGUGAAAUGGAGGAAAGACUAUGUAACUAUUGUGACCUUAAAGAAAUAGAGAAUUAAACUGAUUUAAUCCUCUAUUUCCUUUUCUACCAUGAUAUACGCUUGCUCUUAUUCCAGAAAGACCACCAGAUAUACCCUGGCAGUAUGUGAUGAGUGAUGAGGAAAAAUUGAAAUGUUUUUUUGUCCAUUGUGUAUUUCCGUUUGUGGAAUAUUUAGAUAAAUCCUGGAAUAUAAGAAAAAUGUUUACCUAUAAUUAAAUUGUAAAAAUAUUUAGCUUCUGCGUGGUAAAUGGUACAUGUGUAUAUAGAUUGUGUAUAGACUUGUCUCCCAUAUGAGUCUUCUAUGUGGUAAAUGGUAUGUGUAUAUAUAGAUUGUGUAUAGACUUGUCUCCCAUAUGAAUCUUCUAUGUGGUAAAUGGUACAUGUGUAUAUAUAGAUUGUGUAUAGACUGUCUCCCAUAUGAGUCUUCUAUGUGGUAAAUGGUAUGUGUAUAUAUAGAUUGUGUAUAGACUUGUCUCCCAUAUGAGUCUUCUAUGUGGUAAAUGGUAUGUGUAUAUAUAGAUUGUGUAUAGACUUGUCUCCCAUAUGACUCUUCUAUGUGGUAAAUGGUAUGUGUAUAUAUACAGUGUGUGUAUAUAUGUAUAUUAUUGUUCUGCUCUAGGGAUAUAAUUAUUGUUUGCAUCACCUUAUUUACUAUUAUGUAUUGAUUUUUACCUUAUUUUUUUCACUAUUCAUGCGAUGCCCAAUGCAGAGAACACCGGAAGGAGAAUUAUCAUUUAAUUACCACAGUCAAUUAUUGUAAUGUUUGUUUAUGUGGCAAUUAACCCCAUAAGGGAUGGGUUGCCAGUUGGCGAUUUUACACGGAAAUAAAAUGUCAUUCAUUCA
Molecule: non-coding RNA, 1965 nt
Organism: Salmo salar (Atlantic salmon)
Lineage: Eukaryota; Metazoa; Chordata; Actinopteri; Salmoniformes; Salmonidae
Source: RefSeq, a predicted model, not a curated record